Molecule: ribosomal RNA, 207 nt
Filed under: uncultured bacterium
Lineage: Bacteria
Description: partial 16S ribosomal RNA
Rfam family: Bacterial small subunit ribosomal RNA
Source: RNAcentral
UACGAAGGGGGCUAGCGUUGUUCGGAAUUAUCUGGGCGGUAAAGGGCGCGUAGGCGGUGUGUCAAGUCAAGGCGGUGAAAGCCCCGGGCCUCAACCUGGGAAACCGCGCUUGAGACGUGGCACGCUCGGAAGUUCGGGGAGAGGAUGGUGGGAAAUUCCCAGUGUAGAAGGUGAAAUUCGUAGAUAUUGGGAAGAACACCGGAUGGC